This 73-nucleotide transfer RNA is filed under the name Promineifilum breve (SeqCode). RNAcentral's name for it is "Candidatus Promineifilum breve tRNA". It matches the Rfam family "tRNA". From Rfam's summary of the family: Transfer RNA (tRNA) molecules are approximately 80 nucleotides in length. Their secondary structure includes four short double-helical elements and three loops (D, anti-codon, and T loops). RNAcentral also lists the same sequence under 5 other names. Lineage: Bacteria; Bacillati; Chloroflexota; Ardenticatenia; Promineifilales (SeqCode); Promineifilaceae (SeqCode). The record is from Rfam by way of RNAcentral.
GCCGGGAUAGCUCAGUUGGUAGAGCACUUCACUGAAAAUGAAGGUGUCCCCAGUUCGAGUCUGGGUCCUGGCA